RNAcentral lists this transfer RNA (76 nucleotides) under Hyphomicrobium sp. RNAcentral describes it as "tRNA-Trp". It matches the Rfam family "tRNA". From Rfam's summary of the family: Transfer RNA (tRNA) molecules are approximately 80 nucleotides in length. Their secondary structure includes four short double-helical elements and three loops (D, anti-codon, and T loops). The record is from RNAcentral. RNAcentral also lists the same sequence under 5 other names. Lineage: Bacteria; Pseudomonadati; Pseudomonadota; Alphaproteobacteria; Hyphomicrobiales; Hyphomicrobiaceae.
AGGGGAGUAGCUCAAUUGGCAGAGCGUCGGUCUCCAAAACCGAAGGCUGGGGGUUCGAGACCCUCCUCCCCUGCCA